RNAcentral lists this ribosomal RNA (253 nucleotides) under uncultured bacterium. Its description in RNAcentral is "partial 16S ribosomal RNA". It matches the Rfam family "Bacterial small subunit ribosomal RNA", at positions 524 to 776 of the family's 1533-position model. The record is from RNAcentral.
UACGUAGGCAGCAAGCGUUGUUCGGAGUUACUGGGCGUAAAGAGUGCGUAGGCGGUGCUCUAAGUUUGGUGUGAAAUCUCCCGGCUUAACUGGGAGGGUGCGCCGAAAACUGGAGUGCUUGAGUAUGGGAGAGGCAAGCGGAAUUCCUGGUGUAGCGGUGAAAUGCGCAGAUAUCAGGAGGAACACCGGUGGCGAAGGCGGGUCUCUGGGCCGAUACUGACGCUGAGGAGCGAAAGCGUGGGGAGCGAACAGG